GAAAGGAACCGUUCCUCUCCAGCUCCAUCCAAACCCAUUUUCGAUCGAAAGCGGGGAAGGGCUUCUGGCGCAGCCAACGAAAAAGCAAAACAAAAACCACACCGCCGGCCGCAGGAGCGCAGCUGGACAGCGAGAGCAAAAGCAGCCCUGCGGGCGCCGCCAGUCCCUCAAAAAUGCUCGGAGGAGAUUAGUCUCGGCGGCAACGAAAGCCUCCCGACUCACACCAAGGCCUUUGGCGCCCUUUCGCUUUCCGCGGCGGAGGCCCCUCGGCGAGCUUUAACGGGAGGGAGAGGCACCGGCGGACGGGGCUUCUGGCUGGGCAACUGGGCCGACCUCUCCAGGGGCCAUGAAGGAGACCGGCUGGCUGGUGGCGGCGGUGGCGUCCGCCGCGGUGCCCGCCGUCCUUUUCUACCUCGGCUUCGUGAGGCGCGUCACGGGGGCUUCGCGCACCGUCUUCCGUCGCCGAGAGGCCGGGCGGGCCGAAGGGACGGGAAGGCCGCCGGCCGACGGGCUUCAGUGGGUCCCCAGACUCUCUGGCUUCCUUCUGCGGCUUGUUGUACAUUUGGCCAACACUGUAAGUAUUUAGCUUGUCCACUCUGUUUAAAUUGUAUUUUUAGAAGCAUAUUACUGUGUUUCUGUGGUGUAUAGUUUUAUUUUGUGAGUGAGAAUGUGAAGCAUUGGAUAAUCAGGUCAUCACAUCUUUUACAAGUGCUGAAUAAAGCUGUAAUUACAGAGGGUCA
Molecule: long non-coding RNA, 740 nt
Filed under: Pogona vitticeps (central bearded dragon)
Lineage: Eukaryota; Metazoa; Chordata; Lepidosauria; Squamata; Agamidae
Description: lncRNA (ENSPVIG00000002747.1)
Source: RNAcentral